This is a long non-coding RNA of Triticum aestivum (bread wheat), 651 nucleotides long. RefSeq lists it as uncharacterized. NCBI's taxonomy places the organism in Eukaryota, Viridiplantae, Streptophyta, Magnoliopsida, Poales, Poaceae. The record is from RefSeq and is a predicted model, not a curated record. The transcript has 2 exons.
UAUAGCUGGUAGCUCUUGCUGGUUCUCGACGGCCCAGGCCCAUGUGUCGGUCGCUCUUGGUGGGCUGGCUGCCUUGCCGUGGGUCGACGUGGCCAUGAUAGUAAUUGGGUCGCUGACAAGACAAGUGGGGCCCUUCACUUAGUACACUUUCCCCAACCCAGCCGCAUCUACAUUUCUCUCCUCUCUCCCCCUCCGGUCCCUCUGGUGGCUCCCGAGAUCUGAUUUUUACCAGAGAAUCACCGGCGGCCGUUUCAUCGACUUCACUCAAAAGAUUUGCAGCCAAGCAGGGCUGAGAAAAGCAAGUAGGCCUCGGUUUUGGUAUUCUCCAAAAAAAAGAACUGGGCUAGCCUUUUUCAGAAACAAAAAAGAUAUCAAUUGGGCUCGUCAUGUGCUUAAAUAAAAGCUUAAGCGUGGGCUAGACGGGCCACAGCCCCCGGAGAACACGCAGUUGAGCUCCGUCUCUGAUACUAAAAAGCAACUGGGUGAGCUGCUGGGUCCUUGGUGUUAUCCGCUCGUUGUGUAAUUUUCUCGUUUAUUGACCACAUCGACAAUGGCGUGGGACCUAGUUGUCAAACAAUUAGGAGGAAGUAUUUUUGUGGCUUGUAAUAAUGAGGCACCUGCUUGCCUAAUGCAAUGAGCCUAGUGGGUCCC